Molecule: transfer RNA, 75 nt
Filed under: Chloroflexota bacterium
Lineage: Bacteria; Bacillati; Chloroflexota
Description: Chloroflexi bacterium (marine sediment metagenome) tRNA-Pro
Rfam family: tRNA
About the family: Transfer RNA (tRNA) molecules are approximately 80 nucleotides in length. Their secondary structure includes four short double-helical elements and three loops (D, anti-codon, and T loops).
Source: RNAcentral
CGGGGUGUAGCGCAGGGGCAGCGCGCUGCGUUCGGGACGCAGAGGUCGAAGGUUCAAAUCCUUUCACCCCGACCA